Molecule: long non-coding RNA, 782 nt
Organism: Carassius gibelio (silver crucian carp)
Lineage: Eukaryota; Metazoa; Chordata; Actinopteri; Cypriniformes; Cyprinidae
Exons: 2
Source: RefSeq, a predicted model, not a curated record
AUUACGUCGGUUUAUUCGCCUGAAGUCAAAGACGCAGCGGACACCGCAUCGUCCUACCCUCUCUCUCAUUUAGCCGGUUUCUUCACCAACUGAGUAGAAGAUCAUCCAGGUUACGACCCAACCAAUAACCAAGCCUCCUACAGCCAGAAGAGCUGCAGCCCAGGCCGGCACAGCAUCGUUGGGACAGUCUGCAGGGAGAGGGGUGCCUGGGGCAACUGUGACGGGUACGACAGUCGUAGAGACAUCAGAGCCACUGUUUAUCCGUGUAAAGAUGAAGGGAUGCUCCUGGAGAAGAUAUGAAGAGAUCGCAUUAAUUGAAAGACCAUGCUUGGUUAUCUUGCUCUUACAGUAGUUUCCAUUGGACAUCACCUUACUCACCCUUGUGGGACACUGAAUCUUACUGCGGUCAUAUGUGAAAUUAUUGUAGGUUUGUUUACUGUCCACCGGCUCCAGCUAAAACCGAAAACACAGGAAAAAUGCUGUUAAAUAUAGGAAAGCUGCUGUGAGAUUGUGUGAAUGUAUAUGUAUUUACCAUAUUGUUCCAGAGCGCAAUUGCCAUCUCUGCAUGUCCCCGCUCAGAGAAAUGAAAACAAUCCACAGAGAAGAAAGUCAGGUCUGGUGUGCCAUCCUAAAGCAGAAAGAGAUUUAUCAUCUUGUCAAAAGUUUUAUCUGUUGUAGUGUGAGCCCAAGGCAGACUCCAUAAGCAUUACAUUAAUCUAACAUAUUUAUAUACAUAUUUAAAAAUAUUUUACGUCUGAAUGUGUUGUUUAUGUGUGAUUUCA